AAGUAGCUUGCUACUUUGCCGGCGAGCGGCGGACGGGUGAGUAAUGUCUGGGAAACUGCCUGAUGGAGGGGGAUAACUACUGGAAACGGUAGCUAAUACCGCAUAACGUCUUCGGACCAAAGUGGGGGACCUUCGGGCCUCACGCCAUCGGAUGUGCCCAGAUGGGAUUAGCUAGUAGGUGGGGUAAUGGCUCACCUAGGCGACGAUCCCUAGCUGGUCUGAGAGGAUGACCAGCCACACUGGAACUGAGACACGGUCCAGACUCCUACGGGAGGCAGCAGUGGGGAAUAUUGCACAAUGGGCGCAAGCCUGAUGCAGCCAUGCCGCGUGUGUGAAGAAGGCCUUCGGGUUGUAAAGCAC
RNAcentral lists this ribosomal RNA (360 nucleotides) under Yersinia enterocolitica. RNAcentral describes it as "bacterial SSU rRNA". It matches the Rfam family "Bacterial small subunit ribosomal RNA", at positions 73 to 433 of the family's 1533-position model. Lineage: Bacteria; Pseudomonadati; Pseudomonadota; Gammaproteobacteria; Enterobacterales; Yersiniaceae. The record is from RNAcentral.